CAGCAGUGGUAAUAGCAAGGACAUAAAUCGAGUUAACAAGGCGGUAUACAACACGGUACCUGGAUUCGACACCAACAAUAACUUGACCCGAAGAAGCAGCGAGCGGGUCAUCACCAAGGGACAUAGAAGGAUCAGAAGAAGAGUCAGAGGGGGUGGGUGGUUGGGAUUGUUUGGAAAAGGCAAGGCGGGUUUGGCGAAAAGCGGAAAGGGCCAUUAGGGCACGAGAAGGAGGGAACCAUUCACGGGUUUGGAGUAA
Molecule: long non-coding RNA, 256 nt
Filed under: Nicotiana benthamiana
Lineage: Eukaryota; Viridiplantae; Streptophyta; Magnoliopsida; Solanales; Solanaceae
Description: long non-coding RNA (NBEN_LNC001350)
Source: RNAcentral